CUGGGCUAACACGUGCUACAAUGGGUGGUACAGAGAGUUGCCAGCCGUGAUGUGGAGCUAAUCUCAGAAAACUAUUCUUAGUUCGGAUUGUACUCUGCAACUCGAGUACAUGAAGUUGGAAUCGCUAGUAAUCGCGAAUCAGCAUUGUCCCGGUGAAUACUUUCUCGGGUCUUGUACCCCCCGCCCGUCAACCCAGGAAAUUUGGUUGCCCCUGAACUACCAAGCCUAACCCUAAGGAGGGAUGCUCCAAGGGUGUGAUUAACGAUUGGGGUGAAAUCGUAACAAGGUAUCCGUACGGGAACGUGCGGUAGGAUCACCUC
Molecule: ribosomal RNA, 320 nt
Filed under: uncultured Fusobacterium sp.
Lineage: Bacteria; Fusobacteriati; Fusobacteriota; Fusobacteriia; Fusobacteriales; Fusobacteriaceae
Description: bacterial SSU rRNA
Rfam family: Bacterial small subunit ribosomal RNA
Source: RNAcentral